RNAcentral lists this ribosomal RNA (484 nucleotides) under uncultured bacterium. Its description in RNAcentral is "partial 16S ribosomal RNA". It matches the Rfam family "Bacterial small subunit ribosomal RNA", at positions 30 to 507 of the family's 1533-position model. The record is from RNAcentral.
AUUGAACGCUGGCGGCAGGCCUAACACAUGCAAGUCGAGCGGAUGAAGGGAGCUUGCUCCUGGAUUCAGCGGCGGACGGGUGAGUAAUGCCUAGGAAUCUGCCUGGUCGUGGGGGAUAACGUCCGGAAACGGGCGCUAAUACCGCAUACGUCCUGAGGGAGAAAGUGGGGGAUCUUCGGACCUCACGCUAUCAGAUGAGCCUAGGUCGGAUUAGCUAGUUGGUGGGGUAAAGGCCUACCAAGGCGACGAUCCGUAACUGGUCUGAGAGGAUGAUCAGUCACACUGGAACUGAGACACGGUCCAGACUCCUACGGGAGGCAGCAGUGGGGAAUAUUGGACAAAGGGCGAAAGCCUGAUCCAGCCAUGCCGCGUGUGUGAAGAAGGUCUUCGGAUUGUAAAGCACUUUAAGUUGGGAGGAAGGGCAGUAAGUUAAUACCUUGCUGUUUUGACGUUACCAACAGAAUAAGCACCGGCUAACUUCGUG